AGACCCGUAGCUCAACCCGGCAGAGCAACCGGCUCAUAACCGAUUGGUUCCGGGUUCAACUCCCGGCGGGUCUACCA
This 77-nucleotide transfer RNA is filed under the name Candidatus Sungbacteria bacterium RIFCSPHIGHO2_01_FULL_51_22. Its description in RNAcentral is "tRNA-Met". It matches the Rfam family "tRNA". From Rfam's summary of the family: Transfer RNA (tRNA) molecules are approximately 80 nucleotides in length. Lineage: Bacteria; Candidatus Sungiibacteriota. RNAcentral also lists the same sequence under 3 other names. The record is from RNAcentral.